RNAcentral lists this ribosomal RNA (436 nucleotides) under uncultured bacterium. Its description in RNAcentral is "bacterial SSU rRNA". It matches the Rfam family "Bacterial small subunit ribosomal RNA", at positions 955 to 1392 of the family's 1533-position model. The record is from RNAcentral.
AUUAACGCGAAGAACCUUACCUGGGUUUGACAUAUGCCGGAAACCUGCAGAGAUGUAGGCCCCGAAAGGUCGGUAUACAGGUGGUGCAUGGCUGUCGUCAGCUCGUGUCGUGAGAUGUUGGGUUAAGUCCCGCAACGAGCGCAACCCUCGUCCUAUGUUGCCAGCACGUAAUGGUGGGGACUCAUAGGAGACUGCCGGGGUCAACUCGGAGGAAGGUGGGGAUGACGUCAAGUCUUCAUGCCCCUUAAGUCCAGGGCUUCACGCAUGCUACAAUGGCCGGUACAAAGAGCUGCGAAACCGCAAGGUCAAGCGAAUCUCAAAAAGCCGGUCUCAGUUCGGAUUGGGGUCUGCAACUCGACCCCAUGAAGUCGGAGUCGCUAGUAAUCGCAGAUCAGCAACGCUGCGGUGAAUACGUUCCCGGGCCUUGUACACACCG